GUCGUCCCACUUUCACCUGCGUCCGCGCGCGACGCGGAUCGAGCAUGUAUAUGUGAAUGCGUGUGUGAGUUGCCGCGGUGCUCGGCGCAUUGGUGCGCUCAGCGUUGUGCCAUAUACGGAUCGCUCAACCCCUGCGAGCGCGGCUGCAGCUGUUCACACAGACGCCUAAUGAUCUUUGUCCUUCCUUUCGAGGCGGCCGCUCGUAUAAAAUUUCGGCACCGCACCGCGGGCGCGCUUUCCUCGUCUCCCGACUUCUUGCACGUGCAGCGGUGUGAGACGGGCUGCAGCGAUCGAGAGCGUUCCAGGAGCGCAGUAUACAUCUGGAGCGAAGAGGGAGACGCAGACAUGUCGUCUUCUCGGUGGCUGCCGUCCGGUGCUGCGAUGGUCGUCGUCGUGCUGCUGUCCGUCGACCCGCGGGCGAAAAGACUCGCUCUCGGUGCGAGUGUGGCGCCAAGGCGUACUGCGUUGGAUGUCAUCUGCGACCUCCCCCCAGAUGUGAACGAUCAGCUGAGGAACACUACUAAGAAAUGCGAAGAAAUGUUUCCGCAAUCGGUUGCCAGCCUGAGCGACCACAGGAAUAACGAAUGCCUGAAGCAAGUGGCCGGGCCCGAGGCCAAUGAACAAAGACCCGGGACGUCUUCUGUGCUCAGCGGGGACUCUUCCAACCAUACAUCGACUGCGUGAUGAAAACACAGAGGGAGAUGCUGAAGGCCUACGCCAAACUUUCAGCGACGGAACUGCGGGCUGUUCGCGACGGACUUGUAUGCAUGCUGACAACAUGGAAUGAGCUGCUCCGUACUUAAUACCAAGCGGAUCUGGAUUAAAAAAAAAAAAAAAAAAAAACUUGCGUUGCAAGAGUGCAGUUUCAGUGGAUCUAUCGAGUGCUAGGAUUUGAAGCAACCCCUUUGAUUUUGUUGGGUUGCAGACUUUGGCUUUGGUAUUGGAAUUUGAUGCCUGUCAGUACCAGCACAACCAAACAGCGAAGCUGUUAACUGCAGUGACUGCUGCCAACAACCUGGCAGCUGUCGCAAUCGCCGCCCUCUUCCCACCUUUUUCGGGCUGGAGAAAAAAGGCUAGACGUGAUGCACGUGCUGGCGCUGCAGCGUACAUCCCAUAUGCGGUCAGAACAAAACGCGAACACUUCGACAGUGUCGCUAUUCCUGUGCGUAAUGCGACAACGACGAGUAAUCAUGUAGCGACACAGGCUUCAGACGCGGUGCAUCAAGUAAAAACUGAAAAGUCAGUCUAGCCAGUCUCACACUUCACGCGUAGAUGAACACGGAGGCGGGAAUUAACGUAGACCGAAGCCGCAGGUUUCGCGUACUGCUGAUGCAAAAACAUUCUCGCGCUCCUUAGUAACAUGUCGUGAAUUCGGGCCCCUCGUCAGGCAAAAUUUUGCUCCAUUCGAAGGCAACUCCAUGGCUCCGGUCACAGUUUGUCAAGCACCUUUUAAUUACAGCGCAGACUGAGCGGCGCCCCCUCCCCCC
This is a non-coding RNA of Dermacentor andersoni, 1487 nucleotides long. The record is from RefSeq and is a predicted model, not a curated record. Lineage: Eukaryota; Metazoa; Arthropoda; Arachnida; Ixodida; Ixodidae.